RNAcentral lists this ribosomal RNA (429 nucleotides) under Verrucomicrobiota bacterium. RNAcentral describes it as "Verrucomicrobia bacterium partial 16S ribosomal RNA". It matches the Rfam family "Bacterial small subunit ribosomal RNA", at positions 355 to 776 of the family's 1533-position model. The record is from RNAcentral. Lineage: Bacteria; Pseudomonadati; Verrucomicrobiota.
UAGGGAAUCUUCGGCAAUGGGGGGAACCCUGACCGAGCAACGCCGCGUGAGUGAAGAAGGUUUUCGGAUCGUAAAGCUCUGUUGUUAAGGAAGAACGAGUGUGAGAAUGGAAAGUUCAUGCUGUGACGGUACUUAACCAGAAAGGGACGGCUAACUACGUGCCAGCAGCCGCGGUAAUACGUAGGUCCCGAGCGUUGUCCGGAUUUAUUGGGCGUAAAGCGAGCGCAGGCGGUUAGAAAAGUCUGAAGUGAAAGGCAGUGGCUCAACCAUUGUAGGCUUUGGAAACUGUUUAACUUGAGUGCAGAAGGGGAGAGUGGAAUUCCAUGUGUAGCGGUGAAAUGCGUGGGUAUAUGGGGGAACACCGGUGGCGAAAGCGGCUCUCUGGUCUGUAACUGACGCUGAGGCUCGAAAGCGUGGGGAGCGAACAGG